Long non-coding RNA from Sarcophilus harrisii (Tasmanian devil), 940 nucleotides. RefSeq lists it as uncharacterized. Lineage: Eukaryota; Metazoa; Chordata; Mammalia; Dasyuromorphia; Dasyuridae. The record is from RefSeq and is a predicted model, not a curated record. The transcript has 5 exons.
GAGACCAGUAGUCAGGGAUGAACAGAGCUCUUUACCUGUUAUGGGAAGAGGGUAUUUUCUCUCUUCCUUCCCAUUGGAAGCAAUCCAUUCUUCUAGCAGUAAAGCUACUCUCCCAGGAGAUACCUUACCCAACAGUUGAUGAAUCAGCUUGAGAGAAUUUGAGGCACAGCUGAGGGAUAAGUACCUACUUCAUGUCCGAUUUUCCUGGGGGCAGAUUAAAAAGGGAGAAUCAAUUAAUUUGAAUCUCAUGUUACUACAAACAGUUGGAGGUCUUAAUUGGACCAGGGAAGAGCAGGUGUCCUCUCCACACAGGAUCUCCUUUCACCCAUCAUCAGUCAGGCAAGGGGCAGGAGUCCAUUUCUCAUUAGUGGCCAUUUGUCACCUUGAACCCAGCUUUGAAAGUGUCUCUUUGAACUUUAUUUGGGAUUGAUUUUCUGCAUAUGCUGAGCUGUUCCUGACAAUCUAUGAGCACCUGUUCCUCUGAAACAAACGCAUUAAAAGGAUGGUCCUGCCAGCAUUAUGGAUCCAACCUGAGACGUGAUAAAUAGGGGCAGCAUUCCCAGUUCUUCAGCUUGAUAUUGCCUGUGGUGAAACCUAAAGAAGUCUCCUUCCUUCUUCAUUCAAUCUUUGGAGAUUUAAAAUGUUCACUCAGAUGCACACAGAAGAAGCAGUGCUUCAGCUCCAAUCAGUUUCUAUCCUCUCUGGAGAUCCUGCUGGCCUUGAGGACCUCAGGCAUCAGCAAGACAACAGGAUCAAGUCAGAUACAAACAGGUCCAUUUGAGGAAAAAUUAAACAACAUGCCAACUGUGAGUUCCAGAGAAUUGAACUACAAACCAUCAGAAUUCUCUCAAUCAUGCCAACAGAAUACACAAAAAAAGACAUGUUUCUUUUGCCUAAGCUACUGAGGGGAAAGCAAAAAGGAAGGCAAAGAAAAAAAGAA